Molecule: ribosomal RNA, 382 nt
Filed under: uncultured eukaryote
Lineage: Eukaryota
Description: partial 18S ribosomal RNA
Rfam family: Eukaryotic small subunit ribosomal RNA
Source: RNAcentral
CAAUAGCGUAUAUUAAAGUUGUUGCAGUUAAAAAGCUCGUAGUUGGAUUUCUGGAUGGAGCGACCGGUCGGGCAUUAAUUUGUCUGCACUGGAGUCGGUUCCGUCCAUCCUCUUGGAAAGUGCGUCGGGCAUUGAGUUGUUUGGCGUAUGAUCCAAGUCGUUUACUGUGAAAAAAUUAGAGUGUUUAAAGCAGGCCUUCGCCUUGAAUACAUUAGCAUGGAAUAAUAAGAUAGGACUUUGGUCUAUUUUGUUGGUUUGCAGACCGAAGUAAUGAUUAAUAGGGAUAGUUGGGGGUAUUUAUAUUCCGAUGUCAGAGGUGAAAUUCUUAGAUUUUCGGAAGAUAAACUUAUGCGAAAGCAUUUACCAAGGAUGUUUUCAUUAA